Molecule: unclassified non-coding RNA, 276 nt
Filed under: Basidiomycota sp.
Lineage: Eukaryota; Fungi; Basidiomycota
Description: partial contains small subunit ribosomal RNA, internal transcribed spacer 1, and 5.8S ribosomal RNA
Rfam family: Eukaryotic small subunit ribosomal RNA (bases 1-47)
Source: RNAcentral
AAAGUCGUAACAAGGUUUCCGUAGGUGAACCUGCGGAAGGAUCAUUAUCGUAAAUCCACGUUAAACCAUUGUGAACUGUUGUGUGUCUUAAUCAUGAGAGGAAGAGAGAAAGAAACUUUUCUUUUUCGACUCUUUGAUUGGUUAUCUCACAUUUUAAAUUAAACCUUUUUGAACCCAUCAUUAUAACUUUUUACUAAUCAUUUCAUACUCUGGAAACGGAGAUGGAAUAAAUACGAAACAUAAGAACAACUCUUAGCAACGGAUAUCUUGGCUCUC